This 4725-nucleotide long non-coding RNA is filed under the name Chinchilla lanigera (long-tailed chinchilla). RNAcentral describes it as "lncRNA (ENSCLAG00000028816.1)". The record is from RNAcentral. Lineage: Eukaryota; Metazoa; Chordata; Mammalia; Rodentia; Chinchillidae.
UACAAACUAGAGGUAAAGAAAUGGAUUAUUCAUUCAGGUUUUGAUAAAAAGUUAUUUAGUUUGAAGCACAAAGCGAAGUAAAGAUAACAAAAAGGCCUCUAUAUUGAGAGACAGAGGGAGUCAUACAUCAUUACAUAAAAUUGGGAUUAACUUUCGUCAGAAUACUUCCCACAGCUUAGCAGUGUCGUUGGAAAGCCAUUCCACCCCUCCACACUGCACCAGAGGCCGGAGAGCUCUCUCAGAAGGCCAUGGAGACUGAAGCUAACAACUUCUGCCAGCAGGACUGAGGCCUUAAAAGAAAAAUUCAAAUUUAGAUUCCAUUCAUCAAUUAAUUGAGGAAUCACAAAUAUUCUAGAUGCAGCAGUCAUCAAUUAAACCACGCAGUGACAAGGUAGUCCCUACCUCCUUUCCCAAGGAUCCCAUUCAUUCCGAUUUUCCACGUUAUGGACUGCAAUCUACUGCCCGCCACAGUUACGGUGCGCACUCAUUCAGCACCAACAGCUGGGAUAUCCAUGAAGAGCGUCAGCUUUGGGAACUUGAAGAAGUCAAGGCUAGAGCCGCUCAGAUGGAAAAGACUAUGCGAUGGUGGUCAGACUGCACUGCCAACUGGAGAGAAAAAUGGAGUAAAGUUCGAGCAGAAAGGAACAGUGCCAGGGAGGAAGGAAGACAACUCAGAAUAAAAUUAGAGAUGACAGUGAAGGAGUUGAAUGAACUUAAAAAGAAACAAAGUCUGUCACUUCAGAGGAAGGCAUCACAAGCUAACGUCACCCAGGACCUGGAGUUUCCUACUAUUAUAAACAUGGCCUACGACAAUAGAGCUCCAUUUCAAACUACUUCACAAAUGCAUGAAUUUACUGGAGAGUGUUUGAUGGAAAGACAGUUUCCUACAGAGAAGGCAAACGAUAAGAUCAUUGGUUCUGGAAACGGUGCUGUGGUCCCUGGACUCAGGCUGCAAGUGAUAAAUCUGCCUUUGGAGGAGGAAGGAACUAAAAUCUCAGCUCUGCAGAUCCAUUUGAACGAGUUCCAGCAAUCUUUGUGGAAAGAAAGAGAAAUGCGUACAGCUUUGGAAAAAGAAUUAGAACAAAUGGCGUCUGCUUUGUCUCUGUGGAAACGGAAGUAUGACGACCUGAGAGGAUCGAAGGCAUCAGAUGGGAAAGAGCUAGAGAGACUGCAAGCUGAAAAUACCUCAGGGUGGAACAACACAAAAUUACUUGCAACAGAAAAGCAAGGACUGGAGAGAGAAAAUAGAAGACUAAAAGUCCAGUUGAAAGAAAUGGAAGAGCUCCUGGAUAGGAAAAACAGAUUAAGUGCAAAUUUUAAAGAUCCUGACUUGAAGACAUCACAGAUUGAACUGCAAGAAAAGAACAAGGUCUGGUGUUCUUGGAAGCGCCUGUUCUCUUACUGUGUGUUUUCUUCUGAGGCCUAGGUGGAUGCUGCUUUCACCUUUGUCCACCUCCAAAUCUGAAUAUUGCUUUUUUGGGCUAACGUCUGAUGGCUAGCUCUUUUCUCUGUUGUCAUAAAAAUAACAUUGCUCAUGUAUCUGAAACAGAGUGUAGCAAAUUUUGGAUGAAAAUGUGAGAGUAUGAUAAAGGAAGAAAAGACAAAUCUUGUUUUGUUUUGUUUUCCAUUAUAGCUUUGUGUUAGCAGUUUUCAAACUAUUAUCUUAUUUCCAGUAAAUGUGCUUAUCUAGUAAUUUGAGCACCUACACAGCAGCAUUUAUUGGUACCUAUGAUAAGUAUUUACAUAAACACUUAAAUUUACCUGAGGUUUACUGUUCUCUGAUUCCCUUUUUGUCUGAGAAUCAUUAUUUUGAGUGAAUUGUGUCUUAUUUUUUUGCAAAGAGAUGUUAUAAUUAUAGCAAAACUAAGACAACCAAGAUUAAUAAAAUUAACUUGGGCAAAUUUAAAUUGUUUGCAUAUUUUCCCUUUAAGCCAAUAGAGAUGGGGCUGUAGAUGGGAACAUUUUUCUUUCUUAAAUAAAUAAUUUACAGAUUUUAAAAUGUACUUUCAGUGACAGAUAAUGUUAUAAUUUGUAUAGUUUACUAUAAAUAGGCUAUAAUAUAUAUACACUUUGUUUCCAAAUUCUUCCAUUAAAGUAUCUACCAUAUUUGAAUGUAUAAUUCUAUUUUUUCAAUUUAUUUUAACAACUUUAAAAGUGACUGAUAAUUUCAUAGUUGUGAAUUGUGUACAUUGUUCAUACUAAUACAAGCUCUAACAGCCAAAUGGCCAAAAAAUUAAUUCAAUAUCACUUUUCCUAACUCUUUUAUGAAUUUCAGGGUGUAUCACAAAUGCAGGAUGAAAAUGCAUUAGUGCAUCAUGACUUGACAAUAGAAAUGUCUAAAGUUAAAUGUCAAAGUCAGUGAUCCCAGUUCUGUAUUGUAUAGAUUCAUCAUCGGUUCUAAUGCUGUAUUUCGUUCUGAAAUAUAUGCAACUCACAAAUCUGCAGAGAAAAUUUUUCUUCAUUUCUAAAUAGAAUUAUCUCAACUGUGGAAUGUAGUUUGAUUAUGAAAAUAUACUUUUCUCCUUGAUUCAUUCAGAACAAGCGUGUAUUUAUGUCAUUUUUCUGUCAGCAACUAGUCUCCAUGCUAAUAGUGGGAAGAUGAAUGGCUCAUCAACCCUGCGGGACCUGGGCUUGCAGUCUACACAGACAGUUGCACAUGCAGAUUACAACCAAUAGCACACUGAGAUGAUUCUUAAGAGUGACGUAGAAUGUGAACACAGAUGAAGAGGUAGUUCAUUCUUCUUAAUUUUUCGACCUUUCUAGUUAUAUCAAAAUGUCAGGAAGUAAGGCAUAUCAGUCAGGGAAUAUAAUGGCUGUUUGGAGCUGCCAUAGGUGACAUUGGCAUCCUGUCAUUAAGGUAGAUGCAGGUGAAACCUGCUCUCCUUGGGACUGCUGUGGUUAUUUGUUCUAUAAUGAGGCGUAACUUGGAAACUGUAGGAUUCUGGAAAGUCUAGCCAAUCGGUCAGGCUGUUCAGCAGUCAGAAGAUUGGAAGAUUCUCUAAAUGUUUAUCAGUUUAAUGCUGACUGGGAAUAUUUGUUAUUUUUAUCCACUUCACUAAGAAUACAGAUUCCUGAAACCAACCUAAUGACUUACUAUGUAGCUGAUACAGGUCAAAACCCUAAUACCACAAAAUCUCAGAAUGUCAAGAUUCAGAUGCUCCCAGAUGCCAAACAAAUCACCAUGUGCAAAAAAUGUAAAAAUCCAGGGAAUAAGAUAGAUUUUAUCAUAAUUGGAAUCUCAAAACAUGAUUGGAGUUUUAACAUCAUACAUAUAUAUGAUAUUGUGCAUAUAUAUACACUAUAAAUAUAUAUAUACACACUAUAAAUAUAUAUACUUAUAUGCCUUAUAUGAGUAUCAAUUCUCUCUUGUGUUUUCUGUCUCUAUAUCUUUCUCUGUAUAUAUUUGUGUAAGUAUGUGUGUACUAUAUAUGAGAAGCACAUAUAGAAAUAGGUAUAUACAUACCAUAUAUGUGUACUGUGUCUAUAUACGCCUACAUAUGCAUAUAAAUAUUCUACCUGAGUGACUUUGGGCACAGCAUAGACACUACUGUAACCAUCACUCACUAAUUCCUAUUUAAAGGGAAAUAUGAUCUCUUACCAUAUAAUAUUUAUAUCUAGUCACAUUUACCAAAAAUUUGUAGCAGACACAAAACUAUUUGCUACUUAAGGCAUUUUAAUAAUGUCUUAGAUUUAAUAACACUGUUCAAUAUAUUUUUAUAAAUCCUCACUAAUACAGUGAGGAUCUUUUACUUUAUUUGUUUAACUUCCAUGCUACAGAGAAUGUAUUCUUAAAAAAUGAACGUCAAUUUUAAAUUGCAGUUAUUCAAAAGCAAAGAUUACUUUUACAUGAGUGAUCCUAUCAAUUUAAUCUCCAUCCAGUACUUACAUUUAUAUAUUCAGGCAUAUGUAUACAUUAAUCUUUUGUAACUUAAGAAAAACAGCAAUACAUCUGAUCUUUUUGUGGUAUGUUAGAAAAUUAUCACUUGAGUAGUAACUAUUUGAAAGCAUAAAUCACUAUCAUAGGCUUUUCUAGAAUAAUCUCUGCAUGUAGACCUUAUAAUUUCUUGUAGCUUCUGGAAAUAGUGACCCUGUUGCAUGGUUCUAUGGCAUUAGUGUUUUUCACAAAAAAAUGGCAUCAGACAAGAGAACUUCAGUGUUAGUACUUGUCAGAAUAUAGCCCUCAUUUUACUUAUUUAUUUAUUUAUUUAUUUUUCCUGUUCCCAGACUUGAGCUCAAGACCUCACGCUUGCCAGGCAGGUGCUGUGCCCCUGAGGUAAAUCCCUAGCCCCCUAGCCCUCAUUUUAAAUGAUGGCAAAGACAUUUCAAAAUUAGCUUUAUAAAAACAUAAUUAAAUCACAGUAUAUAUUUUCAUGCAAUUAUAAAUAUGUACUUAAAGCUCUUACUGUACAGCGAUUAGUAAAUUAUGUCCUUGGUAUAUAAUUAUUAGGAUGUAUACUUUACCCAACUUUUUAGAAAUCAGUCUGUAUUUAGGAACAUACAUGAAUAGAACUUUUAGAAUAAAAAUGAUACAGAGUUUCAAAACAAGAUGACAGGAAAUUAACAAUAGUUAUUAUAUUCCAUAUUGUUUUCUUCAAAGUAGUUGUUCAGAUUACCAGACAGGUAUGCAAAAUUGAUCAAACAAUAUGACUAACUGUUCCUUUCAAUGAACUAAUAAAAAUUAGUAGUACAAUUAUCUUAGCUAUCUUGUGUGUGUGUAUACAUAUA